This 372-nucleotide ribosomal RNA is filed under the name uncultured organism. RNAcentral describes it as "bacterial SSU rRNA". It matches the Rfam family "Bacterial small subunit ribosomal RNA", at positions 526 to 896 of the family's 1533-position model. The record is from RNAcentral.
CGUAGGGGGCAAGCGUUGUCCGGAUUUAUUGGGCGUAAAGAGCGUGUAGGCGGCCUGACAGGUCUGCUGUGAAAACUCGAGGCUCAACCUCGAGAUGUCGGCGGAAACCGUCUGGCUAGAGUCCGGAAGAGGAGAGUGGAAUUCCUGGUGUAGCGGUGAAAUGCGCAGAUAUCAGGAAGAACACCUAUGGCGAAGGCAGCUCUCUGGGACGGUACUGACGCUGAGACGCGAAAGCGUGGGGAGCGAACAGGAUUAGAUACCCUGGUAGUCCACGCCGUAAACGAUGGGUGCUAGGUGUGGGCGGUGUCGACUCCGUCCGUGCCGAAGCUAACGCAUUAAGCACCCCGCCUGGGGAGUACGGCCGCAAGGCUA